CUGAAGGAGACAGACAGAGUCCAAAGUGAGCUGCAUUAUCACUGGUAGUAACCACAGUUCAACCAUGGAAUAUUGCAUCAGAGUAUUCAUACUAGUUGCUUAUUUCAGUGUGUGCUCUGCAAAGGGGGACUUCAUUACUCAACCUAAAGAUGAGACGGGUCUGGAGGGCAGCAUGGUGACACUCAGCUGCCAGUAUGAGACCACUGCAUUAGCAUCUCAACAGUAUCUUUUCUGGUACCAGCAGAAACCAAACGGAUUCCCAAAAUAUAUUCUACAGAAACCAGCUUUAGGACAAGACAAUGGCCCAGAUUUUAAGAGGAGAUUCAAUGCUACACUCAACACAGACACAAAAGCUGUUAAUCUGACGAUCCAGGAUCUGCAAGUCUCUGACUCUGCUGUGUACUACUGUGCUCUGCAGCCCACAAAUGACUACUCUUAUUUAGGUUCACCCAACAUGUUUUGGUAUCGACAGCAUCCAAAAUCAGCUCCUCAGCAUCUUAUGACCUUUGUCUUUGCCGGGCAGAAUCAGACAUCAGAUGUGGACCCUCGUUUGUUUGGGAGAAUGACUAAAGACAAACUCUAUCUGGAUCUCUCGUCUGCUGAACUUUCAGAUUCUGCGCUCUACUUUUGUGCCCUGAGGCCCACAGUGAAGACUAACUAG
This is a non-coding RNA of Alosa sapidissima (American shad), 661 nucleotides long. The record is from the annotation of a RefSeq genome assembly. NCBI's taxonomy places the organism in Eukaryota, Metazoa, Chordata, Actinopteri, Clupeiformes, Clupeidae.